RNAcentral lists this ribosomal RNA (448 nucleotides) under uncultured bacterium. Its description in RNAcentral is "bacterial SSU rRNA". It matches the Rfam family "Bacterial small subunit ribosomal RNA", at positions 329 to 793 of the family's 1533-position model. The record is from RNAcentral.
UGCCAGACUCCUACGGGAGGCAGCAGUGGGGAAUAUUGCACAAUGGGGGAAACCCUGAUGCAGCGACGCCGCGUGAGUGAGGAAGUAUUUCGGUAUGUAAAGCUCUAUCAGCAGGGAAGAAAAUGACGGUACCUGACUAAGAAGCCCCGGCUAACUACGUGCCAGCAGCCGCGGUAAUACGUAGGGGGCAAGCGUUAUCCGGAUUUACUGGGUGUAAAGGGGGCGCAGACGGCAGCGCAAGCCAGGAGUGAAAGCCCGGGGCCCAACCCCGGGACUGCUCUUGGAACUGCGCGGCUGGAGUGCAGGAGGGGCAGGCGGAAUUCCUGGUGUAGCGGUGAAAUGCGUAGAUAUCAGGAGGAACACCGGUGGCGAAGGCGGCCUGCUGGACUGCAACUGACGUUGAGGCCCGAAAGCGUGGGGAGCAAACAGGAUUAGAUACCCGGGUACG